AUCCUUUUGUAGUUCGUAAGCAUGAUGACUGGAUUUUCACAUGCAUGCGUGAGAUGUGCCUCCCUCAAUCCUUGUUAUGCACUUGGCACAUUACCCGUCUGACA
Molecule: small nucleolar RNA, 104 nt
Filed under: Prolemur simus (greater bamboo lemur)
Lineage: Eukaryota; Metazoa; Chordata; Mammalia; Primates; Lemuridae
Description: Small nucleolar RNA U13 (ENSPSMG00000002064.1)
Rfam family: Small nucleolar RNA U13
Source: Rfam by way of RNAcentral